UUAAUUCAUUUCAUUUAUGUGAUUUAUAUGAUCAAAGAUGAUUGAUUCAUUCAUGUAUCAAGUUUGGUUCUAAAUGAUAUUCAUUCAAAAAGUCAAAUUUGAUUCACUCAUACAUCAUUCAUUAAACAUGUAUGAUGUUCAUCACAAAAGAAAUAUCAAAAUUUUACAUUUUUACAAAGGUUGACCAAAGUCAACCAUCACUUAUUUUUAUCCUAAAAUCCAAGAUUCAUCACAACUUCAUCAAAUGCAUCAUUCUUAUAUCUUCCAUGGUCACCAUUUCCUCCAUUAAUCAAGCCUUGCAAAAUUUGGUCAAGCCUUUGUUUUUGUGCCUUACAUGAGGACUUGUAAACUUAGCCUUUCAAGCUUCAUAAUCCUACAUAUAAACACCAGCCAACCAGUUAACAUGAUGCAUAUGAACAUUUCACAAAUUUCAUGACAUAGCCAAGUAUACCACCAAACCGUUUAACCUAUCUUAAUCACACAUACAUGAACAAUAAUUGCACUAAACACUUAUACACGAACUGUAAUGGCCUUGUUUUUGUAGCAACGUGCCAAGCAUUACUACCUCCGCAUAAUCCUGCAUCAAGGUUUCAAAAAGGCAAUCCAUCAAAGCCGUGAGAUGGACUUGAGCAAUAACCAUGAAUUUCAGCACAUGUUAGCAAGCCCACAUUGACCAACAAUGCCUUCAGCAGCAAAUCAUGCCAACCUCUACCCAAACUCCUGCAACAACUUCACAAAUCAAUCCACAACCAUUUCACAAGAAUAAGCAAGCCAGUCCAAUAUGCAAUGGGACAAGUUCAUAAGCAUGCAUCAACAUGAUUCAUCAUAGCUAUACCAACUCAGUUAACAUUUCAACAUAAGGCAUGAUGAAUCAGAAUAAUUCACUUAAUUAGCAAGGUAGAAAAUAUUAUUGAACCCUUCCAUCUAAUAGAAAAUUGAUUUUUCACAUUAACUCAACCAUCUCAACAUUAAAACUCAGUGACUCGAAUCAAACACAAGGCAAUUGAUUCAUUUCACUCGAGUCUCCAAGUCUGCUUCACACACUCCAUCUGAACCAUUCCCUCUAAUCAAUCCAUUCCAUCUCAACUGAACCUUUUUCACACUAAUAGAAAAUUGGAUUAAUCAUUCUACUCGAGAUCAUUUAACGGCAGUAAUUCAUUUUGACUCAGUUAACUCUAACAACCUCAACUAACAUAACUAACUAUUUGACAUUGUGAUAACUCCUAACUAACUUCUGAUACAUUCAGUUAACAAAACUAACAGAAGCAAUUAACUCCUCUCAUAUAAAUGCUUGCACCAUCCUCAGGAUCUAGGGACCAUAUUCGUUCUAUUCAAUUUGAUUCAACACUCUCCCUCACACUUCAUAAUCUCUCUCUCUCUCUCUCUCUCGAAUUGACAAUCCCUUGAUACGUUUUUCUCAGAUUCAUCUCAACACUCAGAAGAAGAGGAAAGAAGAAGAAGCUUAAGGAGAAGGGGAUUUAAGAGGAAAGAGUUUCGAAGGAUUCAUAGAGGUUUACCUGACAUUUCCGGCACAGUACUCUGGUGAGUUCAUGAUCAAUCUUCAUCAUUUUUUGCUCCAUUUGAGUUACCACGAUGUAGCAUUGGUUGAGACGAAUCAAAGCCCUACCACGAUGUAGAAUUUGAUUACAUGCAUCCACCAUUUAGUUUUAGUUCUUAACUUUAGGGUUCUUGAACGUCUCACUUCAAUAUGGAAAUUCUGUGAAGAUUCAGGAGAUUCUGAGUUUGGAUUUAGACUUAGCAUGAGAAUAAAAGUGUUUAUGUAUGUUUGGUUUUGUGAUUGGUGGCUCCACCACCGCUGGUGGUAAACUCCGACGCGGUGGAGGGAAGAGAUAAAAAGGGGGUUCAUUUUGAAUUUCAGAGCACAUGUUACAUGCGAUUCAUGUGGUUCACGUGGUUUUUGACAAUCUGAGCCCAUUUUUUUUUAUUUUCCCUGUGUUCUGGAUUGGGCCUCCACGAUCGGGCUUAUGACCAUUUUUCUAUCUUGCACCAUAUGUGAGCGUGCACCCCCUGUCGAAUUGACCUCCAGAGUGGGCCUAUGGGAUUGGGCCUCUGCGCCCAGAAUCCCUU
Molecule: long non-coding RNA, 2088 nt
Filed under: Lathyrus oleraceus (garden pea)
Lineage: Eukaryota; Viridiplantae; Streptophyta; Magnoliopsida; Fabales; Fabaceae
Description: Pisum sativum (pea) long non-coding RNA (PSAT_LNC040042)
Source: RNAcentral